GGUCAACACACAAUACACAACAUACACACGUUCUGUUUUCUGUUCGGUGAUGGCCACUCUGUGUGCAUUGGGCUACUGUACACCCACACGAGAAUCAGGUGACGCAGAUUAUUGUAGUGUAAGCAUGGAUGAAUAAGUGUACAACGUCGUCCGUGUGAUCAUGGAGGAACACGUCUACCUCCACCCAUUUAUUCCUCCAUGCUCCACCAUAGUAUGAUUGUGCAUCCUGCAGUAACACUUCAGAUCAUCUUUAAGACACAACCAAAAGAUAACCAGUUGGAGGGGCCUACACUACACACAUACAGACAGAACGAUUGAAAAUGGCACGGUAUAAUAGUUGGUUUUGAACUGGCGUGUCGGGCUUUGUGACUGAUUCUAUCUACAAGUACUGAAUAAUCCUCAUCAGACUUGAAAAUGUUCACCAAACUCUUAAGCAAGACAACCGCAAGAUUGCCAAUCAAUAUCACUUCAAAUGUCUUACGAAGUGCUUCGACUAAACCCGGGAAGCCGGGUUGCACGUCGUACAACCGGACGAGCCCAUCAGUCCGAAACAUCACAAACUUAUCAAGGGUUUCGGCACGAGGCUGUUCAACCCCAGCAACAUCGUUCUUCACUCAUCCAGCCCCGUUCAGACGACACGAUCAACCCGGGGUAGCUGAUCGCCUCCUACUGAAGGACGUUCAGCUAGACGUCGAGAGAAGGCAACUCGUUGUAUCAUGGGAUGAUGGCGAUACUCAGAUCUACCCCUUCGUCUGGCUGCGUGAUAACUGCCGCUGCACCAAAUGCUUCCACCCAGUUGCCUUAGCUCGGAGUACAUGCGCGCACACGUUGGAUGUUGAACUCAUCGCCAAGACUGUUACAAAAACACAAGAUGGAAGUGCCUUUCAAGUCAACUGGGGUGAUGGACAUGUGAGCGAGUUCCCAUCUAAGUGGUUGAGGGAGUACCGCUUUGACAACAGUACGCCAGACCAGUUACUGAACGUAAAAUACAAGCCCUGGGGUGCAGACGUCAACCUUCAGUUCUUUGACUUCAACUCGAUUCUUGAAGACGACCAGACGCUUUAUGAUUGGCUGGUGGAGAUGGUUACUGUAGGCAUUUCCAUCGUGACGAACGCUCCGAAAGAGACUGGCCAAGUAGAACGCAUUGGGGAGAGGGUGGCUUUCCUUCGGAAGAGUAACUACGGACCAACAUUUCACGUGAAGGCCAAAAUGGAUCCGAGUAACCUAGCUUACACGACUGGUGCUUUAGCGUUACACACCGAUCUGGCCUACUACAUCAACGAACCCGAUAUACAAAUGCUGCACUGCAUAGAGCAGGUUGCGAGCGAAGGCGGCGAGAACGUCGUGGCUGACGGCUUUAAGGUUGCCCUGGAUCUGAAGCGAGAUGACCCGGAAGCAUUUAAUCUACUGUCGACCUAUCCGUUUGAGUUCUCGGACAUUGGGAAAGAUCACUACGGUGAAUUCCUCCAACGAUCCCGCCACCCAACAAUUAAACUGAACGAACUUGGUGAAAUCGAAAAGGUGACAAUCAGCGACCACAGCAGAGAUGCGAUGCUGCGUGCGCCCGUACACUUAGUGUUACCCAUCUACCGUGCACUCAACAAGUACUGCAAAAUGUUGUUGGAGCCAGAAAACUUACUGCAAUACAAACUAGAAGAAGGAAACAUCUUGGCUUUCAACAACUGCCGUGUCCUUCACGGUCGGAACUCUUUCCGUGUGAUCAAAGCUGGAGGGCGUCAACUCGAGGGCGGAUAUCUGGAUUGGGACGAGGUCUUCUCAAAGCUACACGUCUUAUCGAGGAAGCUCCAAAAUCAGGAACAACUAUAGACACUAUGUUUGUCUUUUGGGACGAAAAUGAGAUUAAACGAUCGGACCCUGAAACUGACCCCGACUUUGAGGCAAUUAUAUAACCAACAAGUCAAAGUGCUUUUGAAUAAAAUGUCAAAAAAUGUCAAAUGUUACAAGACAGCCCCGCAAAAUGACUAUAUUAUGACGUGUAGUUCUAAGAAAUGAUAUGUUUGAUGUUAGCACGUCCUUUUUGAACUGGAGGUUAAGGUCAAAAUAUAAUCACAAUUUUGUUUUACAUGUGCUUUAAAGGAUUUUGAUAUUUUUUUAACACAAAACAUAAUCUCCACAGAUUUACAUUAAACUUACUCAGUUUGAGGAUAAUGAUGGUAGAAAGCUUCCCUUAAAAAAUUAUUUGCUGAGAUGCGGCCUACAUGUUGUCACACCGUCAUACAGGUGACCUGUACCCAUUUCAACUUUCUUUGAAUUAAGUGUCUUAAUAAUAUCCUUAUUCCUGAUUACUUUCUUAUAUAUGUCCUGUUAAUUGUCACCCUGUCCUUUUGUGUUAUUCCUAUAAUAAUUCUUCCCACAUACCUCUCUGUCACCCUCAAGACGUUUUUAGUUCUAGGGUAUGUUCAGACGUGGGGUUAAACUAGCCCAUAAUCCGAGCACCGCGGGUGUCCAAAACAUAAACAUGACUUAGUCCAAAACUGGCUUGCGUUCACACAGCGAGUUUAUUCUUGCCAAACGGACUAAACUAGCCCAAGAGGUUGAUUAUUUGGUCAUGCAUCGGCGACCCUUACCAUUGCUGGUUCCGGUUCGUUACACUGCGCAUGCGUUUUCCCACAGGGUUUCGAUCCGCCACGUCUCUACGAACCUCAUGGUCAUCGCACAAGAGUUUUUAAUUCACAAACAAAUUGGUAAAAAAAACAAAAAACAGCGCCUAGCUUUGAACCACUGGCGCUGACUUCUUUGCUACGACUACUGCGCAUGAUUGUGUCCGUUCGUUGGUGCAAGGCCUGCUCAUUCGUUGUGUGUCCAACCACUGUGUGCAGAAAUAUAAUUCAUCAACCAUUCGAGUGCAAACCUCUGGAUGGAGAGGGAGUAAGUUAAAACCAGAAUGGUUGAUCGAAAAUGGUUUUCUGUGCGGAAUAAUCUGAUGACUGUUCUGACACUAGUUGCUACAUUUGACGUUUGUUUCAGCUCGUGCUAUAUUCAACCCCUGGAUAUUAAAGACAAGUCGACAUCUCAGAGCAGCACCCAUCAUGAGUACCCAGCAGAAAAUGCCGUGGAUGGUAGUGUUGCAACCUUCUCCCAAACAGCUAACGAUGGGACAGACUCCAAUCCUUGGUGGCAACUUGACUUGGGAGGAGAAUUCUGGCUUGGUAGAAUCACGGUCAUGAUCUGCAAAGAUUCACCAUGUGGGGCUUAUUUCAACGGAGUGACAGUACGAGCCGGCUUGAGCGAAAACUACACCGAGAACACCGAGUGCACUUCAUUGGUA
RNA transcript from Asterias rubens (European starfish), 3289 nucleotides. It is a transcript of the gene named gamma-butyrobetaine dioxygenase-like, with no coding region annotated. Lineage: Eukaryota; Metazoa; Echinodermata; Asteroidea; Forcipulatida; Asteriidae. The transcript has 9 exons. The record is from RefSeq and is a predicted model, not a curated record.